RNAcentral lists this ribosomal RNA (253 nucleotides) under uncultured bacterium. Its description in RNAcentral is "partial 16S ribosomal RNA". It matches the Rfam family "Bacterial small subunit ribosomal RNA", at positions 524 to 776 of the family's 1533-position model. The record is from RNAcentral.
UACGGGGGGGGCAAGCGUUGUUCGGAAUUACUGGGCGUAAAGCGUGUGUAGGCGGCCACGUAAGUCGGAUGUGAAAGCCCCGGGCUCAACCCGGGAAGUGCACUCGAUACUGCGUGGCUUGAGUACUGGAGAGGUUGGUGGAAUUCUCGGUGUAGAGGUGAAAUUCGUAGAUAUCGAGAGGAACACCGGUGGCGAAGGCGGCCAACUGGACAGAUACUGACGCUGAGACACGAAAGCGUGGGGAGCAAACAGG